RNAcentral lists this long non-coding RNA (1215 nucleotides) under Olea europaea subsp. europaea. The record is from RNAcentral. Lineage: Eukaryota; Viridiplantae; Streptophyta; Magnoliopsida; Lamiales; Oleaceae.
CUCAUUUGUAAUUCCGAAAUUUCAUUUGUAAAAUCUCAUAUUUCUCCAAUCUCUAUCCUUCUACAUCCAACAAAUGGUAUCAGAGCUAGGUUAAAAUUCAUAAACCCAUUCUUACCAAAUUCCUACCAAAAAAUUGAGAUAAAACCUGCCUAAAAAAAACCAUAAAACCAACAGAUUUUUUAACAGAAAUAGGGUAGUUAUGGCAACAAAUUCGACGGCCUCCUUGUUCACUUAUUCACCAAGUCAAGUGCCAAUCUUUGAAGGUGAGCACUAUGAAUAUUGGAGUAGUCAAAUGCAAACUUUCUUCACCUCUUUAGAUUUAUGGGAAGUCAUUGAUGAUGAUGAGGUGGUAGAAGAUUCGACCGAGGGAGAUGAAGAAGAUCCAAAGUUAAGGAAUACAUAAAGAAAGAUGCAACGGCGUUGCGAUAUAUUCAACAAGGAGUUGGAAAAUCAAUUUUUCCUCGUAUAUUUGGUGUUAAAAAAGCCAAAGAUGCAUGGAAAAUUUUAAAUCAAGAAUUUCAAGGUUCGGAGAAAACUAUCGCCUUGAAACUUCAAUCUUUAUGGAAAGAUUUUGACAAUCUCAAAAUGGAAGAACGAGAGUCGGUUCGUGAUUUCUCUUCAUGAGUUUCGGAGAUUGUAAAUCAAAUCAAAAGUUGUGGAGAUACAAUUAAAGACAAAAGAGUUGUUGAAAAAGUGCUUCGAUGUCCCUUCAAAAUUCGAUCAUGUAGCUGCCGCAAUUGAAGAAUCAAAGGAUUUGUCUAAAAUGACUACGUAUGAGUUGACCGGAUUGCUUCUUGCACAUGAGCAAAGAAUCAAUCGUUCGGCUAGUCAAUCAACCGAACAAGCCUUCCAAUCAAAGCAAGCAUUAAAAAUAACUUCAGGCAAUCAUGAAGUUCAAACAAUAAAAAGGAAAGUUUAGCAAGUGGAGUCAAAAUGAAAAGCAAAGCAAUUGGAAAGCCAAGGCACCACAACAAUCUGGUAAGGCUCAAUCUUGCAUUAUUUGUAAAAAGAACAAUCAUGAAUCAAAAGAUUGCUAUUUUAAAUGCAAAAGAUGCAAGGUACCUAAUUAUUCUCAAAAGGAUUGUUGGCUUCAAAAUAAGGAGAAAAAUGAAGAUGCGGCAAAUUUUUUGAAAGAAAGUGAAGAUGAAAUUCUAUUUUAUUCUCAUCAAAAUGGUGACUUUGAAUCCAAGAAUAAAUGGUAUUUGAAUAGCGGUG